GACAGAGGGUGCAAGCGUUGUUCGGAAUCAUUGGGCGUAAAGGGCGCGUAGGCGGUUUGGUAAGUCAGAUGUGAAAGCCCAGGGCUCAACCUUGGAAGUGCAUCUGAAACUCCUGAACUAGAGUAUCGGAGAGGGUGGUGGAAUUCCCAGUGUAGAGGUGAAAUUCGUAGAUAUUGGGAGGAACACCGGUGGCGAAGGCGACCGCCUGGACGAAUACUGACGCUGAGGCGCGAGAGCGUGGGGAGCAAACAGG
RNAcentral lists this ribosomal RNA (253 nucleotides) under uncultured bacterium. RNAcentral's name for it is "partial 16S ribosomal RNA". It matches the Rfam family "Bacterial small subunit ribosomal RNA", at positions 524 to 776 of the family's 1533-position model. The record is from RNAcentral.